RNAcentral lists this transfer RNA (71 nucleotides) under Candidatus Jorgensenbacteria bacterium CG10_big_fil_rev_8_21_14_0_10_54_38. RNAcentral's name for it is "tRNA-Pro". It matches the Rfam family "tRNA". From Rfam's summary of the family: Transfer RNA (tRNA) molecules are approximately 80 nucleotides in length. Their secondary structure includes four short double-helical elements and three loops (D, anti-codon, and T loops). Lineage: Bacteria; Candidatus Joergenseniibacteriota. The record is from RNAcentral. RNAcentral also lists the same sequence under 1 other name.
CGGGGUGUAGUAUAGUGGUAGUACGCCAGCAUGGGGUGCUGGUAGCGGCGGUUCGAUCCCGCCCACCCCGA